AAAUUGAAGAGUUUGAUCAUGGCUCAGAUUGAACGCUGGCGGCAGGCCUAACACAUGCAAGUCGAACGGUAACAGGAAACAGCUUGCUGUUUCGCUGACGAGUGGCGGACGGGUGAGUAAUGUCUGGGAAACUGCCUGAUGGAGGGGGAUAACUACUGGAAACGGUAGCUAAUACCGCAUAACGUCGCAAGACCAAAGAGGGGGACCUUCGGGCCUCUUGCCAUCGGAUGUGCCCAGAUGGGAUUAGCUAGUAGGUGGGGUAACGGCUCACCUAGGCGACGAUCCCUAGCUGGUCUGAGAGGAUGACCAGCCACACUGGAACUGAGACACGGUCCAGACUCCUACGGGAGGCAGCAGUGGGGAAUAUUGCACAAUGGGCGCAAGCCUGAUGCAGCCAUGCCGCGUGUAUGAAGAAGGCCUUCGGGUUGUAAAGUACUUUCAGCGGGGAGGAAGGGAGUAAAGUUAAUACC
RNAcentral lists this ribosomal RNA (470 nucleotides) under Escherichia coli. Its description in RNAcentral is "bacterial SSU rRNA". It matches the Rfam family "Bacterial small subunit ribosomal RNA", at positions 1 to 467 of the family's 1533-position model. Lineage: Bacteria; Pseudomonadati; Pseudomonadota; Gammaproteobacteria; Enterobacterales; Enterobacteriaceae. The record is from RNAcentral.